Molecule: ribosomal RNA, 253 nt
Filed under: uncultured bacterium
Lineage: Bacteria
Description: partial 16S ribosomal RNA
Rfam family: Bacterial small subunit ribosomal RNA
Source: RNAcentral
UACAGAGGUGGCAAGCGUUGUUCGGAAUUACUGGGCGUAAAGGGCGCGUAGGCGGUUCGUUAAGUCCUGUGUGAAAUCCCCCGGCUCAACUGGGGAACUGCACAGGAAACUAGCGGGCUUGAGUUCGGGAGAGGGAAGCGGAAUUCCGGGUGUAGCGGUGAAAUGCGUAGAUAUCUGAAGGAACAUCAGUGGCGAAAGCGACUUCCUGGACCAAUACUGACGCUCAUGUGCGAAAGCGUGGGGAGCAAACAGG